GAAGGUAUAGCUCAGUGGUAGAGUGCCUGCUUAGCAUGCACGAGGUCCUGGGUUCAAUCCCCAGUACCUCA
RNAcentral lists this transfer RNA (71 nucleotides) under Camelus bactrianus (Bactrian camel). It matches the Rfam family "tRNA". From Rfam's summary of the family: Transfer RNA (tRNA) molecules are approximately 80 nucleotides in length. Their secondary structure includes four short double-helical elements and three loops (D, anti-codon, and T loops). Further hydrogen bonds mediate the characteristic L-shaped molecular structure. tRNAs have two regions of fundamental functional importance: the anti-codon, which is responsible for specific mRNA codon recognition, and the 3' end, to which the tRNAs corresponding amino acid is attached (by aminoacyl-tRNA synthetases). tRNAs cope with the degeneracy of the genetic code in two manners: having more than one tRNA (with a specific anti-codon) for a particular amino acid; and 'wobble' base-pairing, i.e. permitting non-standard base-pairing at the 3rd anti-codon position. RNAcentral also lists the same sequence under 1 other name. The record is from Rfam by way of RNAcentral. Lineage: Eukaryota; Metazoa; Chordata; Mammalia; Artiodactyla; Camelidae.